Molecule: long non-coding RNA, 1764 nt
Organism: Uranotaenia lowii
Lineage: Eukaryota; Metazoa; Arthropoda; Insecta; Diptera; Culicidae
Exons: 3
Source: RefSeq, a predicted model, not a curated record
GUUCACUUCUACAAACUUUAAUAAAAUAUCUGGCAUAUGAAAAAAAAUUGAAAGAUGCAUGAAUAUGUACAAUUUUAAUUUUCGAAAUCGUCUGGCAUCUCUGAUCCACGUUUCGAUAAUUUUUGACGUGAAUUUGACAUAAGACAUGAACGCUCUGGGUAACGGUUCGAGUUCAAUUUUACGAUUACAGAAAAAUUGAUGAAAAUCGUUCAUACCAUUCUAUCACCUUUACAGAUACCAUCACUUUUUCACAGAAAGGUUCAUGUUUCAUUUUUAUCGUUCAAAUUUUUCGUCGAAGUAAAGUUUAAUAAAACAGCUACGUUUACACUGAAAAUCACUUUUUCUGAAGCUGUAGAUGAAUCGUAUAAACUGUUUGAGAUAUAGUUUUUUAGUAUGCGGGAAAGAUUCCCAAAAUAUUAGUUUGAAUAGGAUGGUACUGAUAGUUAACUCGACUUCCUGGUGCUGUUUGUACACAUAAAAAAGAAGGUUGAACUAUACAUGGAUGAUGUCAAAAUAAACUUGCCAGAACUGCAAUCCAUUGUGUACUCAAUAUCGAUUCCUGGGGCGCUGGCGUAAAGCUGUGAGAAAUGAACAAAGACUCCCCCAGCCAUGGAAGCGUGAUGCGUGAGAUACACAGCAUACCAGAUGGGGUCCUGGAGGUGUUUGGUGUCGUUUUGUUCAAACCAAUUCGCCUGGGUCAAGCACGUAACGUUCGCUUCAAGAUUUUCCCCACCCUGCCGGUUCAGGCCGACGGGAAACCCUGGAUGCAGACACCUUGGCCCUUAUUCUGCGCCGCGCGUGACGUGAGGAUUGGCGAGUCACUUCAGAGUCACGUGAGUCCCGUCACCUUAUUCCCGGAGUCGAUAUAGGUGAGGUGACAGCAAGUGACAGUCGUGAGAGCAUGGUUCAUUUCCAGUGAGUGACUUGAGUGAAACCCAAAAUGGCCGAACUGUCAAACGCGAAUUAGUUGGGUUUAAUUUUCUCUACGAAGAAAUAUUCAGUUUGUAGAAAACGGAAUUUGUUAAUUCCAUGGACAAAUAUGUGUAAAAAGAAGCGUUCCCCAAUAACAAAAAAGUUGACGAGAGUGGCCGGUCGAAAAUUAAGUCACCCUUGGUGCGGAAAAAGACGGUGGAGGAAAUACAGCUGGUAUGGCUAGGCUCUGAUGGAUAAAAAUUUCAAGAGUGCGUUGGCCAGUUGAUUCCGGAUCACAAACAGGCAUCUUCGUUUGGGUCGGAUUUGCUCCGGAAGAGUAAGAGCUUUUUCUGCUGGAAGCACAAAUGACUUUUAACCGAAUCGAGUCUUCAUUCGAAUCUUCCUGAAAACAACACCUUCAGUUCCGGUAACAACCAUCCUCGUUUCUUCAAAAAACUGACUAUCAACGACAAUGGAAAAAGUUACAGAACAAACACUCCAAUAAUAAUACUAUCGGAAGUAGGCCACCUGAACACCUGAUUAUGAGUUUACAGCGCGGUAAAUUGGCCAACUUUUCUUCCACAGUUCCAUCUUCAAUACCGGAUGAAAAUAAUGCCCAAGUUGAUGAUUGCUUCCCUCAUCGUUUGCGCCAAUACAUUGGAAUCCAUUCGCCGAAGUCUGUAGAAAAAAAGGCAACAAAAUUGCUCUCGUAUAAAAGCAUACCUUCAGAGAUGAUAAUUAAUUCUUUUUACUUAAAAAAUGGCAUUAAAAUAAGAAUAAAAAAAAACUGGCUAACUGAUUGCAGAAUCAGGAUUUGAAAUCCAAAAUAUAGAAUAAAAAGUAAAAAAUAAA